This 79-nucleotide transfer RNA is filed under the name Felis catus (domestic cat). It matches the Rfam family "tRNA". From Rfam's summary of the family: Transfer RNA (tRNA) molecules are approximately 80 nucleotides in length. The record is from Rfam by way of RNAcentral. Lineage: Eukaryota; Metazoa; Chordata; Mammalia; Carnivora; Felidae. RNAcentral also lists the same sequence under 1 other name.
ACCUGGGUGGCUCAGUCGGUUAAGCAUCUGACUUCAGCUCAGGUCAUGUGGUUUGUGAGUUCAAGCCCCGCUUCAGGCU